Molecule: long non-coding RNA, 800 nt
Filed under: Homo sapiens (human)
Lineage: Eukaryota; Metazoa; Chordata; Mammalia; Primates; Hominidae
Description: long non-coding RNA NONHSAT200130.1
Source: RNAcentral
GGAGAGUGUAGAUAAGGUCAUGGAUCAAAAAGAACAUAAAUUGAAUGGGAAGGUGAUUGAUCCUAAAAGGGCCAAAGCCAUGAAAACAAAAGAGCCGGUUAAAAAAAUUUUUGUUGGUGGCCUUUCUCCAGAUACACCUGAAGAGAAAAUAAGGGAGUACUUUGGUGGUUUUGGUGAGGUGGAAUCCAUAGAGCUCCCCAUGGACAACAAGACCAAUAAGAGGCGUGGGUUCUGCUUUAUUACCUUUAAGGAAGAAGAACCAGUGAAGAAGAUAAUGGAAAAGAAAUACCACAAUGUUGUGUGAAAUAAAAGUAGCCAUGUCGAAGGAACAAUAUCAGCAACAGCAACAGUGGGGAUCUAGAGGAGGAUUUGCAGGAAGAGCUCGUGGAAGAGGUGGUGACCAGCAGAGUGGUUAUGGGAAGGUAUCCAGGCGAGGUGGUCAUCAAAAUAGCUACAAACCAUACUAAAUUAUUCCAUUUGCAACUUAUCCCCAACAGGUGGUGAAGCAGUAUUUUCCAAUUUGAAGAUUCAUUUGAAGGUGGCUCCUGCCACCUGCUAAUAGCAGUUCAAACUAAAUUUUUUGUAUCAAGUCCCUGAAUGGAAGUAUGACGUUGGGUCCCUCUGAAGUUUAAUUCUGAGUUCUCAUUAAAAGAAAUUUGCUUUCAUUGUUUUAUUUCUUAAUUGCUAUGCUUCAGAAUCAAUUUGUGUUUUAUGCCCUUUCCCCCAGUAUUGUAGAGCAAGUCUUGUGUUAAAAGCCCAGUGUGACAGUGUCAUGAUGUAGUAGUGUCUUACUGGUUUUU